GGCCUGGUAGCGGAAGGUCCGCGUCUGCAAUACUGAAGUCGUGUCUAUCUAUUGGUGUUUAAGCAGAUGGUGCUCGUUCGAUUCGAGCCUGGGUCA
Molecule: non-coding RNA, 96 nt
Organism: Mycena rebaudengoi
Lineage: Eukaryota; Fungi; Basidiomycota; Agaricomycetes; Agaricales; Mycenaceae
Source: the annotation of a GenBank genome assembly